This 459-nucleotide ribosomal RNA is filed under the name uncultured Escherichia/Shigella sp. Its description in RNAcentral is "partial 16S ribosomal RNA". It matches the Rfam family "Bacterial small subunit ribosomal RNA", at positions 341 to 792 of the family's 1533-position model. Lineage: Bacteria; Pseudomonadati; Pseudomonadota; Gammaproteobacteria; Enterobacterales; Enterobacteriaceae. The record is from RNAcentral.
ACGGAAGGCAGCAGUGGGGAAUAUUGCACAAUGGGCGCAAGCCUGAUGCAGCCAUGCCGCGUGUAUGAAGAAGGCCUUCGGGUUGUAGAGUACUUUCAGCGGGGAGGAAGGGAGUAAAGUUAAUACCUUUGCUCAUUGACGUUACCCGCAGAAGAAGCACCGGCUAACUCCGUGCCAGCAGCCGCGGUAAUACGGAGGGUGCAAGCGUUAAUCGGAAUUACUGGGCGUAAAGCGCACGCAGGCGGUUUGUUAAGUCAGAUGUGAAAUCCCCGGGCUCAACCUGGGAACUGCAUCUGAUACUGGCAAGCGUGAGUCUCGUAGAGGGGGGUAGAAUUCCAGGUGUAGCGGUGAAAUGCGUAGAGAUCUGGAGGAAUACCGGUGGCGAAGGCGGCCCCCUGGACGAAGACUGACGCUCAGGUGCGAAAGCGUGGGGAGCAAACAGGAUUAGAUACCGUGGUA